Neopsephotus bourkii (Bourke's parrot) is the source of this 413-nucleotide long non-coding RNA. RefSeq lists it as uncharacterized. Lineage: Eukaryota; Metazoa; Chordata; Aves; Psittaciformes; Psittacidae. The record is from RefSeq and is a predicted model, not a curated record. The transcript has 4 exons.
CAGGGAGCUUCUGCCCAUGCAGAAGUUACCACCAGAUAUUGGCAGCCCUGCCAGGAACAGAAACAUUCCCAAAGCCCUGUGGUGCCAUGAGGUAUCGUGGUCUCGCAGGGGUCUUCAGCUUAACAGCUGUGUGCUGAAAAUACAACACAGUGGAGAGGAAAAAGUCUGGGAUGUUUCUGGAGCGUGUGGAAGAGAACUUUCUGACACAGCAGGUUCUGGUGAAAUGUAGUAAGGGAAACUAUGCAUUUCCAUGCAUGUAAAACAGGAAAAUGAUGUGAUUGUGGACAAACAAUGUCUUCCAUUCAGACAAAAAGAGAAGAAUAAAAUCUUAAUUUGAGAGUCAACCUUUCCAAGAUUAAAGGGAAAAGAAACCAGCUGAUGAGAAUGUUGAACUGUUCCUGCAGAAUGGGUAA